CUCCAGGCCUUGCCAUUUGUUUGUUCUGACCAGGAAGAAGUGCACCCCAAAGAGAGAACAGGAGUGGAGACCCCCUGCUAGACUCUGUUCGAUCUUAGGCACCUCUAGGGAGGGCUCAGAGUUGUUUUCAGGCCGGAGCAGGGCUGCUGGUCGUGAGGGGUCCCAGCCGAAAGUUAGCGCUGUGUAUUUGGGAGGCUCCCCCGCGGUCGCCUCCCUCUGCUGAGACUGGGGCAGUUCAGGUAAGGAGGGGCUGGGCUGGAGGGUGGGGAAGGGAAAGGAAUAAGGAAGGACCAGGGGUCAUCCUCAGAGUCAGAGGCCUCUGUGCUGCCCUGGCAGACACACACCCUCCCAGCCCCAGGCAUCCCACCCUGCAAGACACCCGCACAUCCUGGGGAAACUGGGAGGGAGCACACGGCCCCUCCUCAUGGCCCCUGAGCCAAGCAACAUCCGUGGCCUUGUUCUGGGACGCUCUGAUCUCCUCCCAUCUCCUGCGGCUCGGCCAUCUGCUGCACACCUGGUCCUAAUUUAAUUACUGAGCGGAAGUGAGAAGGUGAACCUGGGAGUGAGCUUCCCAGACUCCUCGGGCUGGGGGCUGGGGCAGGGCUGUGGUACCUCCCCCAGCCAGUAAGAGGGGUCCGGGGAGGACAGGGGAGGGGGACCAGAGGGAGCCAAGGUCAGAAGCCUUAGAGUGCUCACUAUGUUCCAGGCGCUGUGCUAAGUAAGGCCUGGGGAUACUGACACAAGUUGGCUUGUUUCUUGAUGGUGUCUGGCCAGGAGGAGCUUCUAUUCUAAUUGGCAGGGGGAGGGGCUGCAAAGGGCGAAUGAUGAAGAUGAAAGUUUGCCCAGAGACUCGCCGGUUGGAGACAGAAGGUUCGGG
Molecule: long non-coding RNA, 877 nt
Filed under: Phascolarctos cinereus (koala)
Lineage: Eukaryota; Metazoa; Chordata; Mammalia; Diprotodontia; Phascolarctidae
Description: lncRNA (ENSPCIG00000031858.1)
Source: RNAcentral